GAUAAACGCUGGCGGCGCACAUAAGACAUGCAAGUCGAACGGCCAAAACUUUAGUUUACUAUAGUAGAGGUUAGUGGCGGACUGGUGAGUAACACGUAAGCAAUCUGCCUAUCAGAGGGGGAACAACAGUUAGAAAUGACUGCUAAUACCGCAUAUGCCUAAGUAACACAUGUUACAAUAGGGAAAGGAGCAAUCCGCUGAUAGAUGAGCUUGCGUCUGAUUAGAUAGUUGGUGGGGUAACGGCCUACCAAGUCGACGAUCAGUAGCCGGACUGAGAGGUUGAACGGCCACAUUGGGACUGAGAUACGGCCCAGACUCCUACGGGAGGCAGCAGUCGGGAAUAUUGCGCAAUGGAGGAAACUCUGACGCAGUGACGCCGCGUGCAGGAAGAAGGUUUUCGGAUUGUAAACUGCUUUAGACAGGGAAGAAACAAGACAGUACCUGUAGAAUAAGCUCCGGCUAACUACGUG
Molecule: ribosomal RNA, 470 nt
Filed under: uncultured bacterium
Lineage: Bacteria
Description: bacterial SSU rRNA
Rfam family: Bacterial small subunit ribosomal RNA
Source: RNAcentral